CAAUUUCUGUCGACCCACACGCACCUUCUCCCCCAAAAUUUUCACUCAGCGGCGUCAAAAAUUUCACCCUCUCAAAUCCGCCGCCACCACCUGUUUCAAAAAAAAAAAAUCCUAAUUCACCUCCACAGAUCGACUCUCAAAUCCCCUCUCCCUCGUGCCGCUGCUCCAGAGAUCAACGUCUCUCAAAUCCGCUCUCUCUCGUGCCGCUGCUCUAGAGAUCGACUCUCAAAUCUGCAUCACUCUCGUGCCGCUGCUCCUCCGGUCGCUCCUCCGCUUGUAGAUCCUCUUGAAGCUAUAUUCGCCUAGCUCCUCCGGUACGUCCUCUCAGAUCCGCUUGCAGACCCUCUUGAAGCUAUCUCCACAGUCGUCGAAUCCUCAGCUCCAUCCCCCGCGACCAUCAAAUCCAACCAUCUCCGGCGAUCUUCCUACUUAGCCAUCAUCAUCCAUCAACAAGAGGAACUCCAAACCCUUGAUUACACAAGGAUGAAAUACGUGCAGUGCAUAGUAAUUGGAAUGAGGCACAUGUUGAAACACAUCAAAGGACAAGAAGAAGGCGGCAAGACGUAAUGCGCAGAAUCGGAUGUCAAAUUUGCAUGGUAGAGCAACCUAUACAGGUGACUCGAGGAACAUGUGUCGGGCUAUGGAACAAUUGGUAAAUUUGCUUCUUACAACUAAUUAAAAUUCAGACUAUAUAAUUCUUAAAUGUUUUGAUCGAUUAUACAACAUAUUUUUGGUGAAUUGCAAAAAUGUCAAAUCAUUGAGGAUGGUGGCACAACUACAAUGUUGAAACUAUAUUUGGGUACCCACUCGUCAUCAGUAGAUAAGAUCACCAGAGAGUAUACAUAUCCGGACAACAGGACUAAGGAGUAUUGUGAGCGGGUCAUCGAAAAGGUAACCUCAUCAGGGGUCGAUUCAACCCCAGAGGAUAAUACACUUUCUUUCACCCAGAUGUUAGAUUCCCUGCACGGAGGGCAUCACGGUGGUUAUGAAAGAGCCAUGGACAUUGGUGUCACUCGGUAUUAUUUGAGGGUGUCUAACAUAACAGAAAUUGACACUUCUAAUCAGGAGCUACAUCGCGAGGUUGCUCAUCUUAGAGCUCGGGUACCUGAGAUGGAUAGUCUCAGAGAUCGGGUAGCUGAGAUGGAUAGUCUCAGGUAGGAGCUUAGGUCUCAGAUGCAUUGGAUUAAUAACAAUAUGGUUAAUUCUCAGGGCGAUUGUCCUGCUCGCACUCCUAAUGAUCCAUCAUCUUUUACUCGUCCUGCUCUAAUUCCUCAGCCCGCAGCCUAUAUACAACAUUCUGCUCGUCCUGCUUCGACUACUAACACUUCUACUUCCAGUUCUCAAGGUUUAUCACAGGAGAAUCUUGUUAGGAUAUUUGCAGAUUGAGGCGUUUGGGUUUGUCUCAGGAGGACAUUCUUCGAGGAAUUUCUUCUGUUCCUUUACUGGAUAUAUUAUGUUGGACAUUUUGGAUAUUAGAGACAAAUAUAUAAUAUUAGAUGUUUUUCAUUGUGAGAGAUUGGAAAUAAUCAUUGUGUAUGUUUAUGUUUAUCUCUAAUAUUGUAUAUUAAGUAAACAUUGUAUAUGAAUAUAUAACAAUGGAUAUUUAGUAAAGUUUGAGAA
Molecule: RNA transcript, 1620 nt
Organism: Asparagus officinalis (garden asparagus)
Lineage: Eukaryota; Viridiplantae; Streptophyta; Magnoliopsida; Asparagales; Asparagaceae
Exons: 5
Source: RefSeq, a predicted model, not a curated record